AUGACUCGAUGCACUGACUGCCCACGGACUGCGCCACUGAAGCGGUUGACUUCGAAGGAGGAGAAGAAUGGGAACUUUGGGCGCGAGUUCGUCAAAUGCGAGAGCAAGCCGGAGGGGCAGAUCAUGAAGAAAUGCCACCAUUUCGAGUGGAUGGAUGAUUACAUCCAGAGGCUUCAAGGGUUGGGCUUGCUGGAUUCGAGGGGGAAUGCAAUCCGCGAGUCCAAUCUGCCCCAUGACAGUGCCGCUCCGGCAGCAGCAGCGCGUCCGGAAUACCCGACGGUGGUAGAUGUCGAACUGAAGACGGAAUUGAAGAAGAUGAACAAGAACUUCAAGGAGCUUAUUGAGAUGAAGAAGCAAUCCAAUCUGAUAGCUUUAGGAAUACUUGCUCUAGGAUUUUUUUACUUGAUGGCCAUCUCUCGUUAG
RNAcentral lists this ribosomal RNA (423 nucleotides) under Triticum aestivum (bread wheat). RNAcentral's name for it is "partial small subunit ribosomal RNA". Lineage: Eukaryota; Viridiplantae; Streptophyta; Magnoliopsida; Poales; Poaceae. The record is from RNAcentral.